This 187-nucleotide unclassified non-coding RNA is filed under the name uncultured Orbiliales. RNAcentral describes it as "sequence contains ITS2". The record is from RNAcentral. Lineage: Eukaryota; Fungi; Ascomycota; Orbiliomycetes; Orbiliales.
CAAAACUCCUCAGCAAUUUAUUAUUGUUGGUUAUGGGUAUAGAGUAGAUCUAACGGUCGCUUUUACCUUAAACUUGCUGCACGACCGCAAGCUUAUGCUAGGUUAAUGGAGUGGUGUUUACAAUAUUCCAGCUGCCUUUUAGUAUAGCUAGUGGCGUUAAACCUGAUGUUGCUUAACUGCAACUGAA